CCCUUAGAUGUCCUGGGCCGCACGCGCGCUACACUGAGUGUCUGAGAUACGAGUCUGCCUGGUCCGGCAAGGUCUAGGUAAUCGCUAAAAGACACAUCAUGCUUGGGAUAGAUUAUUGCAAAUAUUAAUCUUGAACGAGGAAUUCCCAGUAAGCGCAAGUCAACAGCUUGCGUUGAUUACGUCCCUGCCCUUUGUACACACCGCCCGUCGCUACUACUGAUUGGAUGUUUAAGCGAGGUUCUCGAACUGCUAGCGACUUAGCUUCGGUGAGGUCGCAGUGUGGGAAGUGAACCGAGCUUUGGUGUCUAGAGGAAGUAAAAGUCGUAACA
This 329-nucleotide ribosomal RNA is filed under the name uncultured eukaryote. RNAcentral describes it as "partial 18S ribosomal RNA". It matches the Rfam family "Eukaryotic small subunit ribosomal RNA", at positions 1470 to 1796 of the family's 1831-position model. The record is from RNAcentral.